Molecule: long non-coding RNA, 3128 nt
Organism: Cydia fagiglandana
Lineage: Eukaryota; Metazoa; Arthropoda; Insecta; Lepidoptera; Tortricidae
Exons: 2
Source: RefSeq, a predicted model, not a curated record
UUGAAGUUAUCAUAUCCUGUGCGAGAUAAAUAAUUAAAUACUGGGCCAUUUUCGCUUAGCAUGUCUAUAUUAAAAUGUUGUUGUUCGGUAUGCUAAGCAUUUUAACAUUUUAAAAAGAGAAGUAUUAUUUCAGAGUUAGACUCGCGCUUGGCCGCCUUUUAAAAAGGCUAAAAACAAAAAAAUAAGGUUGUCUAUGGCAAACCCGUUAAUGAAUAGAAUUGGCCGUUUUUCAGUACAAAAAUUCUGUUUAAAAAUUAGUGUUUUUAAAAUUCGUCAAGGAAAAUGUCUAUCUCUUUCUAGUUAGUAUAAUAAGGUGAGUUGGGGUGAGCACUGAUUUAUUUAGGCUGGAAACACAAUAAAAAAAAUCCACCUUCCAAAAAUAUAAUAUUAUGUUCGACUAAUGAUUUAUUCGCAUUUGUUGCAACGUCUGUGGAAGCCUUUAGUCGAUUGUUAAAUCGGCGCAGAGGGCCUACCGCUAGCACCGAAAUUCGCAAAUUGCAACUUUCUUUCUCAGUCACUCUAAUUACGCAUUAAUUGAGUAAAAGAGCGAGACGCGCAAAUUGUGAACAUCGGUUUUCGCGGUUAUAGAGUCAGACCAAGAAAAGUCUGCAGCGGAUUUGAUAGCCCACGCAGUGCAAGUAAAUUUUAAACGUCUAACUUCUGUGAAAUUAUGACGUAUAAAUAUCACUGGCACUGCGAGGGCUAUCAAAAUCGCUGCAGACUUUUCGUGGUUUAAUUCUAGUCCAGAUAUAGACGAAUUGUAGUAGAAACGAAUGGUCUUAAAAAAUAUGGUCUCAACGCCAGCCCAAAUAAGUCGGUCCUGUAGUUAGAACUUUUGGUACGACGGUGUUUUUUGGAUGUUAAAAAUGUUGCAAUUAAAAGUGUUUUGUUGUCUAUGCUAAGAUGUUGCUAGUAAGAAAAAUAAUUAGUUUCAAUUAAGUUUCCCAUACUUUAUGUAUGUUCUUUUUUAAAUUAUUGGUGCUAAGUAAUUAUUAAUUUUAUUGAGAAAAUAUUGUAUGAUUAUUUCGCUCUGCUUGUCUAUACAGUGGGACAAGACUAAAAGGGACAUAAAAUAAAAAAUAACUAGGUAUACAUUUUUAAAAUGUUAAAUUACAAAUGUUGCUUCCUUGCUAUACUGGAAAAGUUCAUUGUCAAAAGUACGAAAAUUUAAAGAACCAUUCUUUCAGGGUCGCUUACAGACACAGAACAUGGUAUUUCGAGGCCAUUGAGAUUAUGAAAUAUCCAAACUAAAUAAUUAUUGUUGACAACAUGUUUAAAAUGGUCCCUUUAAGUCAUGUCGCACUGUAUAUUUGAUAUUAGCUAGUCAAAAGUUUUAUUGUGAAAAUGGAAAGGUAAUAUAGUUAAAUGUAGAUAAUUAAGGAUCUGCUCUGAAUUCAUUAAUGAACAUUUGGCGUCUGCUGGAACUUGAUACAAGUUUUAUGAAAUAACUUUGCAUGUAAUGGUCGCUUUUAUAAUUUACCGUGGAAGUCCACGACCACAGCACGUUUAAUACUGCUGUAAAUGUAACGUGUUUCAAAUAGUUUGGCUGUAGUCAGGCACCUCUACCAGAUACUAAAGGUUCUGUCACACAGGCGCGUUUUCCCGGCGGGGCGUGAGCGUUUUAUAUGUAAAAGCGGCGCGCCCCGCUCACGCGCCGCCCGCAAAACACGUCUGUGUGACGGAGCCUUAAAUAUUAUUAAAAUGACGAAACAUUUCAUCAAAAAAAUUGCCCUAACAAGGGAACGCUCAACAGAACGCUCAAUAGGGGGACGAACGCUCUGAUUAUGCCUCAUGUAUGAAAUAGUAUAUAGUUGAAGCGACCAUUUUAUAGUUUUAUUGAAAACUGAGUUUUUAUUUAGAAUUUUAAGGUAUUAUGUUGUUUUAAUGAAUAGGAGGAAAAGUUAGGUUACAUGAAAGACAUGUUGUUUUUUAAAACUUGUAUCAUUGACAUAUUUUCUUUGGUCUACUCUUGAUCAGUAAGGCCCACUUUCACCAUCCCACUAACCCGGGGUUAUGUGGUUAAACCGUUAACUCGGUGUCAAAUUGUACUAUUGUAUUGUACAUGGUAACUCCAGGUUUAACCGGUUAAGCCCAGGUUAGUGGAUUGGUGCAAGUGGGCCUAAGUGACAAUGGAAGGCGGCUUGUACCAUCGCUCACACUGUUAACUGUACUGUGGACCUUAUGCCUUUUGUAAUAAGGUUAGGAGUGUUGUUGUUUGUACAAAUAUUCAAUGAUUUCACUACAACUGCAUUCAAAUAAUUCAAAGUUAUCUAAAGUUGUAUGUACAGGACAUUGUACCAAAAGUACAUAGCGAUGUACCUACUUUGUGUACUAGAUUGUCAUUCCCAUUUGUCCCCGCCGGGUGCAGAUGCGUUCUUAUAAAUUAUUCCCAUCUGGCCCCGACAUGCACAGAUGCGUUCAUAUAAAUUAUUCCCUUCUGGCCCCGCCGGGCAGAUGCGUUCAUGUAAAUUCCCAUCUGGCCCCGCCAGGCACAGACGCGUUCAUGUAAAUUAUUCCCAUCUGGCCCCGCCUCAUAUAUGGCGGCGGUCACGUGGGGCGGGGACAAAUGGGUUGUCAAAUGUUAGCGCUUGAAAAUCUAGUUACGCACAGCGCCAUCUACUUCGGUUACCAAAAUUGAUGAUACAAUAUUUUGCCGUACAUUUCAGUUUUUCUUUGUAUAUUAUUAGAGUUAGACCAAGAAAAGUCUGCGGCGAUUUCGAUAACCCACGCAGUGAAAGUGUUAUUUUAUACGUCAUAAUUUCAUAGAAGUUUGACGUUUACAAUAACACUUGCACUGCGUGGGCUAUCAGAAUCGCUGCAGACUUUUCUUGGUCUAACUCUAUAGUUAUUACGGGCAGUAAUGUCUACAAGCUAUAAUUAUAUUUUGAGUUAUGUAAUCUAUGGUACAGGUUGCCUUUCCCUGGUUUUUAAUAGUCUAUGGUAUUAUUUGCUUUUUAAAAUGAUCUCUGUCCGUGUCAUCAGAUCUUUGGGUGCAAUCAUGGUGUUGCCAUAUUACUGUAAAACGCUAUUUUUAAUUUGCUUAAGGAAAAGAAUCUAUUUUUAUUUGUCAUAUGAUUAUAUGCUACUAUUAAGUAUAUUAUAUUAGUAAAUGUUCCUUUGAUGUUUGA